GCUUACGGCCACACCAGUGUGAAAACGUCUGAUCUCGGAAGCUAAACACACUUGGGCUCGAUCAGUACUUGGCUGGGAGACCGCCUGGGAACCCCGAGUAAUGUAAGCU
This 109-nucleotide ribosomal RNA is filed under the name Erpetoichthys calabaricus (reedfish). The record is from RNAcentral. Lineage: Eukaryota; Metazoa; Chordata; Cladistia; Polypteriformes; Polypteridae.